AUUGAACGCUGGCGGCAGGCCUAACACAUGCAAGUCGAACGGUAACAGGAAGAAGCUUGCUUCUUUGCUGACGAGUGGCGGACGGGUGAGUAAUGUCUGGGAAACUGCCUGAUGGAGGGGGAUAACUACUGGAAACGGUAGCUAAUACCGCAUAACGUCUCAAGCCCAAAGAGGGGGACCUUCUGGCCUCUUGCCAUCGGAUGUGCCCAGAUGGGAUUAGCUAGUAGGUGGGGUAACGGCUCCCCUAGGCGACGAUCCCUAGAUGGUCUGAGAGGAUGACAAGCCACACUGGAACUGAGACGCGGUCCAGGCUCCUACGAGAGGCAGCAGUGGGGAAUAUUGGACAAUGGGAGCAAGCAUGAUGCAACCAUGCCGCGUGUAUGAAGAAGGCCUUCGGGUUGUAAAGUACUUUCAGCGGGGAGGAAGGGAGUAAAGUUAAUACCUUUGCUAAGUGACGUUACCCGCAGAAGAAGCACCGGCUAACUCCGUG
This 490-nucleotide ribosomal RNA is filed under the name uncultured bacterium. RNAcentral's name for it is "partial 16S ribosomal RNA". It matches the Rfam family "Bacterial small subunit ribosomal RNA", at positions 30 to 507 of the family's 1533-position model. The record is from RNAcentral.